GCAGUUUCCACGUGCAUUGUCUGGCCCUGUUUAUCCGGAUGAUGCAAAUGCAGGAGUUCCUUCUGCCAGCAAAGCAGGCAAGGAAGCCAAAUGACAUUUCUGAUGUUUGAUGGCAGUCUGUAGUUCCUAUUUACACACUUUAAAAUCACAGAGGGUGACCAUCUGCUUCCUUCUUGAUGAUUACGAAGAAACAUGGGUGUACAGACCAAGGACGCGCUCUGACCAUUCAGAAAACACCACCAAACUGCUCUGCCUGCCACCGCACAAAGGAGUGAGAGACCCACACAGAAUACAAAACAGGACUGCCCAGUGCAGAGAAGGAGGAAAGGUAUUCAGACAGACGGGCUCUGAGUGACCCAGGCUUACAGGAGGCCCAUCUGUCCCCAGCCUUCACCGCCCCAGGAGGAGAGUCAGGGAGCAGCCAGGCUACAGGGAUGGAACGAACGAAUGCAUCUCCUCCUUGCAAACAGUUUAAUCCUAAAAGCAAGGGUGGGGGAAGCUAGGAUGAAUUUUCUUUUCCUUUUAGUCUUUGGCUUUUCACACGUCCCUUCUCCGAGGAUAACUCGGUCUGCACCACCCACCUGCCUCUCCCUGGCAGUCUGACCCGUGCCCCUAGCACUUAACCUGGCCCCAGGGCUCCACGGUGGCUCUGCAGAUACACAAAGCGUCCUUCUCUCAUCCCUCUUGGAAGAGCCGGUGGAAGCUGCACUGUGGGGCGGAAUACAAAUGAAGGCACUGCAAUGGAGGGGUACCAACUCACAUCUGGGAGGCUUGAGAGGUCACGGCACACUGUGUGGGAAUUGCAGCACUGUUGUUGACAGAGAACAAGAAACGCAUGUGCGGACGAGGGCAGAGGGACGGCAUCCUACGGCGAGAUCAGCCUUGAUCUGCCACUGGAUUACAGGGGCCUCAGAAGAGGCUGAUUAAUAAUUCCGUAGGAGCCCUUGAGCUGGAAAGCUGGCGUUCUGAGUCUGAUAAUCCCCGGUCGCUGCCAUACAAAGGAAGGGCAGGAAUUGAAUUCACAGUUCUGAAUUGUGAAAUUCAAAAUGUGAAAGAAACAGGGAUCCACUUCUUCCUGAAUGUGUUUGUCAACCUAGCUGCCUGCUUGUUUGUGUUAAAUGGCUACUGUGCUUUUUGAAUCCAAAAUCUGAUUGUAUUUAAUUAGUACAGGCAUCUGGGAUUUCUAAUACACAAAGAGUUAUUAAAGUAACAAAUCUUUCUAAAAUAUGUUCUCCAUGAAAGAAUGUGUUAAUUUAUGCAGUAACAAUUUUUUAACAUGAAAUAAUUAACAUGAAAGCUGCAACAAUUAUGAAUUCUUUGCAGUCUAAUUUAUAGGUGAAUUUUUCUCCAGAUAAUAAUCUAUUCAACUUAAACCCUCAAACUGGGAGCAUUUGAACAGAUACAUUUUUCUUCUUCUACUUAGUGCACAAACCUAAACCUAUAGCAGGUUUUACACAAAGUCCUUAAAUGCCCCUGUUUCUACUAUAUACAUUCUGAAGACCCCAAAAUUAAAUUUCCUUGACAUCUGCUUUCUCAACAGUGAUCCUGUCAUUAACUUAGACAUUAAAAAAAAAAAAAAAAAAAAAAAAAACCAACCCCAGAUUAACCCAAAACACAG
Molecule: non-coding RNA, 1618 nt
Organism: Sus scrofa (pig)
Lineage: Eukaryota; Metazoa; Chordata; Mammalia; Artiodactyla; Suidae
Source: RefSeq, a predicted model, not a curated record